Molecule: ribosomal RNA, 589 nt
Filed under: uncultured Ruegeria sp.
Lineage: Bacteria; Pseudomonadati; Pseudomonadota; Alphaproteobacteria; Rhodobacterales; Roseobacteraceae
Description: bacterial SSU rRNA
Rfam family: Bacterial small subunit ribosomal RNA
Source: RNAcentral
AACGCGGCGGCGAGCUCACCAUGCAAGUCGAGCGCGCCUUCGGGUGAGCGGCGGACGGGUUAGUAACGCGUGGGAACGUGCCCUUCUCUACGGAAUAGCCUCUGGAAACGGAGAGUAAUACCGUAUACGCCCUUUGGGGGAAAGAUUUAUCGGAGAAGGAUCGGCCCGCGUUAGAUUAGGUAGUUGGUGGGGUAACGGCCUACCAAGCCUACGAUCUAUAGCUGGUUUUAGAGGAUGAUCAGCAACACUGGGACUGAGACACGGCCCAGACUCCUACGGGAGGCAGCAGUGGGGAAUCUUAGACAAUGGGGGCAACCCUGAUCUAGCCAUGCCGCGUGAGUGAUGAAGGCCUUAGGGUCGUAAAGCUCUUUCGCCUGUGAUGAUAAUGACAGUAGCAGGUAAAGAAACCCCGGCUAACUCCGUGCCAGCAGCCGCGGUAAUACGGAGGGGGUUAGCGUUGUUCGGAAUUACUGGGCGUAAAGCGCGCGUAGGCGGAUUAGAAAGUUGGGGGUGAAAUCCCGGGGCUCAACCCCGGAACUGCCUCCAAAACUGCUAGUCUAGAGUUCGAGAGAGGUGAGUGGAAUUCCGA